This 253-nucleotide ribosomal RNA is filed under the name uncultured bacterium. Its description in RNAcentral is "partial 16S ribosomal RNA". It matches the Rfam family "Bacterial small subunit ribosomal RNA", at positions 524 to 776 of the family's 1533-position model. The record is from RNAcentral.
UACGGGGGGGGCAAGCGUUGUUCGGAAUUACUGGGCGUAAAGGGCUCGUAGGCGGCCAACUAAGUCAGACGUGAAAUCCCCAGGCUCAACCUGGGAACUGCGUCUGAUACUGGAUGGCUUGAAUCCGGGAGAGGGAUGCAGAAUUCCAGGUGUAGCGGUGAAAUGCGUAGAUAUCUGGAGGAAUACCGGUGGCGAAGGCGGCAUCCUGGACCGGCAUUGACGCUGAGGCGCGACAGCGUGGGGAGCAAACAGG